RNAcentral lists this ribosomal RNA (395 nucleotides) under uncultured eukaryote. Its description in RNAcentral is "partial 18S ribosomal RNA". It matches the Rfam family "Eukaryotic small subunit ribosomal RNA", at positions 592 to 976 of the family's 1831-position model. The record is from RNAcentral.
CAAUAGCGUAUAUUAAAGUUGUUGCAGUUAAAAAGCUCGUAGUUGGAUUUCUGAAUUGAAUAUCCGGUCCGCUCGUCUCUGAUGAGUGCGUACUUAUGGAUAUUGGAUUCAUUUUUUGUGAGGACAUUUAUCUGUCAUUAAGUUGAUGGAUUUAUAGACUUGCAUCGUUUACUGUGAAAAAAUUAGAGUGUUUAAAGCAGGCGUUCGCCCAUUUGAAUACAUUAGCAUGGAAUAAUAAGAUAUGACUUUGGUGGUCUAUUUUGUUGGUUUGCACAUCAGAGUAAUGAUUAAUAGGGACAGUUGGGGGUAUUCAUAUUUCAACGUCAGAGGUGAAAUUCUUAGAUCGUUGAAAGAUGACCUUAGGCGAAAGCAUUUACCAUGGAUGUUUUCAUUAA